This 755-nucleotide ribosomal RNA is filed under the name uncultured bacterium. RNAcentral's name for it is "bacterial SSU rRNA". It matches the Rfam family "Bacterial small subunit ribosomal RNA", at positions 1 to 669 of the family's 1533-position model. The record is from RNAcentral.
UCAGANUCCUGGCCGUCGUUUUCAUCCUCUACUGNCUNNGCNCCUGNNUGCUGNUUNUCUGNUUNUAGUUUNANACUGGCUCAGGACGAACGCUGGCGGCGUGCCUAACACAUGCNAGUCNAACNGAGAAUUUCAAAGAGUUUACUCGGAGAAAUUUUUAGUGGCGGACGGGUGAGUAACGCGUGGGUAACCUACCCAUAAACCCGGGACAACCCUUGGAAACGAGGGCUAAUACCGGAUAAUCUUAAAUGUUGGCAUCAACGUAUAAGAAAAGGUGGCCUCUGAAGAUGCUACCGAUUAUGGAUGGACCCGCGUCUGAUUAGCUAGUUGGUAGGGUAACGGCCUACCAAGGCGACGAUCCGUAGCUGGUCUGAGAGGACGACCAGCCACACUGGGACUGAGACACGGCCCAGACUCCUACGGGAGGCAGCAGUGGGGAAUAUUGGACAAUGGGCGAAAGCCUGAUCCAGCGACGCCGCGUGGGUGAAGAAGGCCUGCGGGUUGUAAAGCCCUUUCGGUGGGGAAGAAAAGCUUCGACCUAAUACGUCGAGGUCUUGACGUAACCCACAGAAGAAGCACCGGCUAACUCUGUGCCAGCAGCCGCGGUAAUACAGAGGGUGCGAGCGUUACUCGGAAUUACUGGGCGUAAAGCGUGCGUAGGUGGUUCGUUAAGUCUGAUGUGAAAGCCCUGGGCUCAACCUGGGAGUUGCAUUGGAAACUGGCGGGCUAAAGUACGGUANAGGGUAGUGGAAUUC